UAUCAAUAAGCGGAGGAAAAGAAACCAACAGGGAUUGCCCUAGUAACGGCGAGUGAAGCGGCAACAGCUCAAAUUUGAAAUCUGGCGCAAGCCCGAGUUGUAAUUUGUAGAGGAUGCUUCUGGGCAGCGGCCGGUCUAAGUUCCUUGGAACAGGACGUCACAGAGGGUGAGAAUCCCGUAUGUGACCGGCGCGCACCCUCCACGUAGCUCCUUCGACGAGUCGAGUUGUUUGGGAAUGCAGCUCUAAAUGGGAGGUAAAUUUCUUCUAAAGCUAAAUACCGGCCAGAGACCGAUAGCGCACAAGUAGAGUGAUCGAAAGAUGAAAAGCACUUUGGAAAGAGAGUUAAAAAGCACGUGAAAUUGUUGAAAGGGAAGCGCUUGCAACCAGACUCCGCGGCGGUGUUCCGCCGGUCUUCUGACCGGUCCACUCGCCGCCGCGGGGCCAACAUCGUCUGGGGCCGCCGGACAAGACUGGAGGAAUGUAGCUCCCUCGGGAGUGUUAUAGCCUUCAGUGAUGCGGCGCGUCCCGGGCGAGGUCCGCGCUUCGGCAAGGAUGUUGGCGUAAUGGUUGCCAGCGGCCCGUCUUGAAACACGG
This 595-nucleotide ribosomal RNA is filed under the name Pseudocercosporella sp. RH1. RNAcentral's name for it is "eukaryotic LSU rRNA". It matches the Rfam family "Eukaryotic large subunit ribosomal RNA", at positions 41 to 664 of the family's 3401-position model. The record is from RNAcentral. Lineage: Eukaryota; Fungi; Ascomycota; Dothideomycetes; Mycosphaerellales; Mycosphaerellaceae.